This 221-nucleotide ribosomal RNA is filed under the name uncultured bacterium. Its description in RNAcentral is "partial 16S ribosomal RNA". It matches the Rfam family "Bacterial small subunit ribosomal RNA", at positions 521 to 741 of the family's 1533-position model. The record is from RNAcentral.
UAAGACGUAGGGUGCGAGCGUUGUCCGGAUUUAUUGGGCGUAAAGAGCUCGUAGGCGGCUCGUCGCGUCGUCCGUGAAAACACGGGGCUCAACCUCGUGCUUGCGGUUGAUACGGGCGGGCUGGAGUUCGGUAGGGGAGACUGGAAUUCCUGGUGUAGCGGUGAAAUGCGCAGAUAUCAGGAGGAACACCGGUGGCGAAGGCGGGUCUCUGGGCCGAUACU